Ahaetulla prasina is the source of this 3110-nucleotide long non-coding RNA. RefSeq lists it as uncharacterized. The transcript has 3 exons. Lineage: Eukaryota; Metazoa; Chordata; Lepidosauria; Squamata; Colubridae. The record is from RefSeq and is a predicted model, not a curated record.
GAAUGACCCAGGUCAAUUCAAUUAGUCUGCAGCCCUGACAAUGGAUUCAUCCUGCAGUAACUGUAAAACUGGCAGAAAGGCAAACGUAUCACCAUAAAUAAGAAAUUAUAUCCCAGAGAAAAAAUAGCAAGAAAAAGAAGGAAGCAGUUCUCAUAAGCCUUAAGAAGACCCAUGCUUGAUCGGAGCAAAAGCCUGUGUAUUCAGGGACUUUUUAAAAUAUGUAUGGAAAGCUCACAAGCAGCAGAUGAGUACAAGUUCCUCAUCUUGUUCAGGACUUCCUGGGAGGAAAUGGUGGACUGAAGACAGCUCUGUGAAAAGCGAAGCCAAAAAUUAUAUCUACGAACAAAGAAUCAACAAGAAGAUACGUUCCUUUGAUCUUCUCUGGAGAAUCAGUAGAUGUGAGAUUGCCAAUGGUGCACUCCACACAGUUGUUCCUCAUGAGGAGACUGCAGGAUUGUAGUGUCUGGAGAUGCAGGAGAUGAUGUUAUUUGACAUUUUUGCUCCAGUUGCAGUCUUCAACUUCCUUUGCUAACCUGGUAAUUGCCUAUUAACUACUUUAAAGAAGAUAGAUAUCUUAAAAUUGCUAGCUGAAAAUAACUUGAGACUCUUCAAUACUUAAUAAAAGAAAAGGAAACUGGAUAUAUAUAAGUUUUGAGAAUUCAAAAUAAAUGGUAAAAAGGAAGAAAAAAAUGAGCUAUAUAAAGUUUUACAUACACUAAGGCAGGAUAUAAAACUGGUGGCCGCGAGCAGGAUGCAUUACAAGCAGGCCACUCCCACCUGACUCUACUAAGGCAAAAAAAAUCCUUGUAGGUUGCAAUAUGACAAGUGACGCAAUUGAGUUUGACACUUAGUCCUUUGUACUAAGGACUCAGAAAAUAUUGGAAUAUUUGAUUUUAAAUAUUAAGACUUUGAAAUGAAUUUUAAAGAAUAAAUUCAUUUUCAUGGGAACUAAAAAUUAUUUUCAAUAUUGGAAACACAACAAGAUAAGAAACUUAUAAUGAUAUUCAGAGCUAUUGUUGAGGAAUGGCAAUGAGACUUUGAAUUGAUUAUGCCACCUAUGUUGUGUGUUUUUAUGAACACAAGUAGCUGUUACAUCAGAAAAUGCUAUUACAGAAAAAGAUUUAGAAAAAAAUAUUUGACAUGAUUAUGGAGAACAAUAUGAACAAGAUUUAUCACUGAAUAUACAAAAAAUUUUUUAAAAAAAUCUCUAAAAAUUAAGAAGGAAAUGAAAAUGCCAGUUCAAGUGAGUAAUUGUAUUAUUAUUUUUUUGCUAGUCUUACAAAACAGGUUUGUUAAAGUUUUGAAAAAUAUCUUAAUAAGGGAUAAAGAUAAUUUGAUUGGAUUAAAAACAAGAUUGCUUUAUAUAAAAAGAUGUAUAAAGUUGGCUUACUUAAUCAGGGUUAAAAUGGGAUGUGUUGUUACUUGAAUUGGGGUUUCUUUCUGGACUUGCUGAUAUCUGUACUGGAAAAACAUUGUGUACGGAACUUGCCUGCAACUUAACAGUUGAGUUAUCAGAUGGAGAUAUCUGUUUACUACGAGAAGGUGAAAAAAUACUGAAACUGUUUAUAUUUAUUGUGAUAAGGGUGGGAAAUUUCUUUCUUAGGUUUUUUUUCUUUUUCUCUUUACAGUUUUACUUUCUUUUUAGAUUUCUCACAUCUUUUUUCUGUCUUGCUGUUUUUCUUUUUAAUUUAUAUUAUCUUUUAAUAUACUUAAUUUUUUUUAAUAAAAAUAUAUUUUUAAAAACCAUUUCUAUUUUUAUUUGGCCUUCUGUGAGAGAAGGGUAUAUAUUCCAUUAGUGGUUGUGAAAAGUUUUCUAAUUUUUGAGCUGGAUAUAAACACAAUCAGAAUAAUCAAAGCUUACACCAGGGGUGUCAAACUGGCAGCCUGUGGGCCAGAUGUGUCACGUGCAGGCCAUGUCCACUCCAGCUCAGCAAAGUUAAAAAUAUCACGAUAUGUCACAAAGUGGCAACAUGACGCUGCAAGUUUGACCCCUGUGGAUUACAUAACUGAAAUACUGAGGAUCAGAUGAUUCCAAUCUAGAAAACUAGAGUAAUUUAUGCUUGGUCUUCUAUAUCUUUGAAACAGUUUGGAGAAUAAAUGAAGUAAUAAACAACUGGAGGAGACCAAAGAUUUUCAAUAUCUUUGAAAAUCUCGGGAAGUGUGAUGCUGGAAUCUGAUCUCAACACCUAGGAAGGUUCUAUGACAGUUCGUAAAGCAAUUAAUUUUAAGCAUUUGAAAAAAUGCAGUGAUUACCAGAGAUUAGCAUGGAUUUGUCAUAUUAAUUCUAUUUCAUUUUUUGAUUGUAUAACUUCCUUAACAGAUUAUGGAAAAGCUGUGAUAUAAUAUACUUUGACUUCAUUAAAGCAUUUGAUAAGUACCCAUUGUUGUGCAACUGAAUCCUUUUAGCCAAGUAAAGUAUACUAACAGGAAUAAAGAGAAAUCGUAUUUUUUUUUAUUUAACUUCUUAAUAUUAGUCUUUGGAUCACUGUUGGAGGACCAGAUGCCCACAUUUUCAGAAGCAGACUUUAAUUAACAUUUAUAUAUUCAUAAAGCAAGUAAACAUACUGACUGGCUGAUGUAUUCACAUUACAGUACAUGAAAUGCAGGCAUAUAUAAAAAAAACUACAAAUGAAAAUUUAUCAACACACUUGUUUACUUGCAGACACAGUGUUUUUCUUUGUCUCUCCUUGGUUCUUUGUUUCCAUUUUCUGGUCCUUCUUUGUCUACAUGCUGGUUUAGUUAACUGUAAGGAUGCUAUUCUAUAACAAAAUCAGACAAGGAAACUAAUUAACUAUAGACAAGCUAGAUUGCUAGAUUUCAACUAAAUUGAAAAUUGUACUCAGAGGGUAUCAAUAGUUCUUCAAUUGACUAGGGUCAGAUUUAAGUGGGAUCAUUCAUGGCUCCUAUGAUUUUAAUAUUUUCAUCAAUGAUAAUGAUGUUGAAUAGUUGAAUGAUUUAAACGAGAUCUACUUUUGCAGAAUUAUAAGAUAUCUUGAAUCUAUAAGGUAGAUAACGCAUACAUUUUCAUAAAUCAAUUAAUUUAUUUGGUAGUUUCCUCAAAUUUAUCAUGACUGCCUACCCAGGACUGUGGCAUUCAUUUUUAUAGUUCA